GUAAUUGAGUGGGUGUGCAGGUGAGAGUUUCCACUUAAUAGGUUGCCUCUCCUGUGCUGUCACUAGGAAGAACAGAGGGUAGUGACACUGGGAGAAAAGGAGAGCGGAGAGACGGAGAGAGAGAGAGGCUCUACACAUCAUCCGCAGCUGAUACAGACAGUUUCAUCCUCAGACUUUUGCUCAACGCUACACACGGACUGGACUAAGGGCUCCUACUCCCUCCAGAAGACUAUGGCCUCAACUGCUUUUUUUAAAGACACAGGCCUCCUGCUCUUCUUACUACUGGGACUGCAGCCAUCGUCAUUUGUUUCAGGACAAAACACAAACUCAAGUUCCAAUUCAACGACCAAUGCUUCAUCAACUGUGAUGUCAACUGGCAUGAGUACUGACUCUGCAGCAACUAUCGUGACAGCUACCACAGCUCAAACUACAAUGUCGUCUGCCAUUUCUUCUACGAAUACUACAAUGUCUUCUGCAGGGUUGGAUAUCCUGUCGACAGUUCUCCUGUAACUACUCAGACUGCUACAAUGUGUACAUGAAUAUGACUUCUGUUUCAUGCAACGCUAAUAUCACCUUCUGUGAGCUGAAGAGACAGGAAGACAUGACUUACACCGGUGGCUGCAGUUCCUCCUGCAGUAAUGCCUGUGUCAACGACACUCAGACCAACUGUACCAUGGGAUGCUGCAACUCCACUGGCUGUCUUAGCUCUACCCUGGCCUCCAUUUUUGGCACAAACACUACAACAGUGACUACAGUGAUGAUGACCACCACCACCACAACAACAGCAGCAGCCACCACUACAACUGCUGAACCAACCAAUAAACUUAAGAAGUGCCAGAUGUUUCAGUGCACAGAGCAGGACUGUUACAAGACUUGGAUAACCAAAGACCCAAUGCCUUGUCCCCUCAACCAGCCCUACUGUGAGCUGAAAAAGAUAACAACUGGUUCAUCAACAACCUGGAUGGGAGGCUGCAAUGCCAACUGCACAAUAAACACCUGGUGUACGACCACAACAGAUACAUGCCACCAAGAGUGCUGCAACACCUCCAUGACCUCCUGCCUCAAGCUGGAUGGUACUCUGAACGUUCCUUCUUCUGCCACUAGGGGUCUGCACUUCCCUUUAGCAAUGUUCACUGCUGCUCUGCUGGUUUGUCUGCUCAGCAUUGGUUCUCUGGCUUAAACUGGGUCGUGUUCAGUAGGUACCAAGCGGGGGAAAAAAUUAUUGAAAGAGGGAGGAAAUACCUUGACUUGUCCGUUGCAAAAUGGUUUAAAACGUUGCCUGUCGUGUGACUUAAUGAACACAACCCUGAUGUGUCGACCUACUGAGCCAUUGCUUGAAUAAUAUACAGCGAGCGGUAGUAGUUAGCACAGCAAAACCUGGUUCCAUUCCACAUGAAUACUAUACUGGUUGUAGGUCUAGCCUACUCUUUUUUUGUUUGUUUGUUUGUUUGCUUGUAUAUGAGAUGUAUUGAGAUACUGUAUAUGAAGGCUCAUAUGUGCUUUUGAGAAAUUUAGGCAAUUUAAGUGAUAAUGAUUCCCCUAUGUGAGUCCAAACCAAAUGGGUUUAAAGGGUAUUAUUGAAGAAUAUGACGAUUAAUAUGGCUACAGAAAGCUAUUCGACCAUACCAUCAUACCCAUUUUAUAAAUCAGUAAUGCGUAAAACAUAAUCCACUGAAGAUGAUAGCUAUUUAUGAUCAUAGAUGACUGACUUAAUGUAUGGUAUGAUAAUUCAUUAUCUGCUUUUUGAUACUUAUUGAGAUUUGUGUAAGUUGAAGUUUACAAUUAUGACAUUUUCAUAAAUGUCCUCUUUUUUUAGGCACACUGUUAUUUUCUUUCGCCAGUGGUUUGCAUGAUGACUUGCAUGUUUUCUUUGAUUUUGCACUUGCAAAGACCUUCCAGCCUGGUCUCAGAUCUGGUUGUGCUCUUGCUCACUCAAUUGCUCAUUGACAAACCAAACAUGCCCAGGACAAGGAGUUGGCAUGAUAGCACAAACAGACUGGCACUCAGGCUAAAGACUUUCUCCAAUACAAAAGCAAACAUCUGUUCUUUACAGAUAUUGCAUAAUAACUCAGUUAUUACCUAGUCCUAGAUAGCAUAUUGUGAAGGACAGAUUGACAAUUUAUGCACUUAUAAACAUUUUUAAAAAACAUAUAUAUUGGGCUAUAGAUGGUGUUUGAAAUAUUUGUGCUGACACAUUGAGGUGUAAUUCAUAUCUGUGAAUGUAGUCAUACACUGUAUAACUGUAAUGUGUGUUUUACUCCUUUUAUUAUGUAGCUGUAUUCUCAUUUAUAAUUCACCAUCAUAACAAUAUGGAAAUUGAUUUAUAAAAAUUGGAUUAUAAAAAUGUCAAAGUGUUUAUUUUUGCAGUAGUUUCAUGGAAAGUUGACAUACAAGACCUGAUAUGUCAUAUCUAAUACUUGG
Molecule: long non-coding RNA, 2421 nt
Filed under: Salmo salar (Atlantic salmon)
Lineage: Eukaryota; Metazoa; Chordata; Actinopteri; Salmoniformes; Salmonidae
Description: lncRNA (ENSSSAG00000100320.1)
Source: RNAcentral